AGUGCUAGAGCUGGGCAGGAAGUGUGUCCGAGGCCCAAGGCUGUGUGGCUGAGCAGCUCACGCUCCAUCUGCCUUCCGUCUGCUGGCUGCGCAGGCUCCCGGGCCUGCGUGCCUCAGCUCCUCCUCUGUGAAGGGGCUCAUGCUGUUGGAUGUGAGGGCCUCUGCAUUCAUGCAUGCUGGUGCCCAGCUCAUGCUGAGCGCUUAUAAAUGUUACGAUUAUUUACAAUUUCAGGAAACCAAACCUUUGUCCUGUUUGUUGCCAAUAGUUACCUUCCUGAAUCUGACAGUGGAAUGGACUGUGGCAUUGCUAAUGUGGCAGAUGGGAAGGCAGGCAGGGACACAAGGAGCUCAGUGGAUGGCUCCUAGAAGGGCCAAAGGGGCUGCAACCCAUGUGCAGUCGGCCCUAGCGGGCACUCACAGAACUGUCGCCAAAGGAGUAUCUGCCACUUUAAACAGGCCUCAGAGCCAUAAAGAUAGGCCUGGUUGGCCCCAGACCAAAACCCAAAUCAGUCGCAAGGAAGAUUUUGCAACUUCCUUUUGAGAGAUGCAUUCCAGUGUCGCCCAGCUGAGACUGGCGUCCUGGGGCAUGAACCUCACUCCGUUCUGCACCCUGGCUUCUUGCCACCUCCUCACAGCUGGGAGAGAGGGCCAGAGCUUUGUCCCCCGAGGAGGGCCCUCCUGGGGCCUGACACACAUGGCCACUCCUUGCCCAUGGAGGGAGGGGGCAGGUGGGACUGUGGGGGAUUUCUUGUCCCCAAGCCAAGCAAGGCUCCACUUGGCUUCGGCCCACUCCCCCGCCCCCCCCCCAACCGUUCCAUUCCCUACAGUGACUCAGUCAGGGAGCGGCCCAGUGCCAUGAACCCUGCCGUCUUACCAUGCCCUCCCAUGCCUGGUCCCCGGAGAGUGGGACGCAGGGCUCCUUUGGUUUGCACAGAGGAAGCUGAGGCAACUCGAGCCAGAAGUGGAUUCCAAGCUGGGGUGAGUCACCCCCCCCCCAAAUUAGAACAAGAGAGGGCCUUUCAGGGGCCACACCCGUCCUGGCUGCCUGGCCCGGCAUUGGUCAUCUCUCAGCCUCUGAGAAAGUGGCUUGCAGUUUGUGUUCGGCAUCUUGGCCUGGCGUCUGCGAUGCCCUGCACUGGCCCCCACAGCGUCCUACCCCGACAGCAGCACCGAUACAAUUCCAACCUCUGCUCACACAAACGUCUGUUGCUCUUGCUUUUAAGAUCAACCAGCUGUGUGACUUAUUAGAAACCUCUCCCAUAUUUGAAAAUCCCACCAGGGGAGGAUGCUGCAGAGCUCCGUGGUGGUUGUCACUGCACUACGGUAGGAAGAGGCAUCCUGCACCAUUGCUGGGUGCAGGGACCCAGGCCGAGCCUUGUGUCCAUGGAGACAGCACCAGCAGAGUGCCCUAGCCUUAAGCACGGUUCCUAAUCUGCAGCCCAGGUGAACCACAGCCUCAGGCCUCAGGACUCCCAGGCCCAGGGCGCUGGCCUGCCCUUGCCUCGUAGAUCAGCUUUCCAUUCUCGGCUGAGCUGGAAGACAAGCCCUCUGCCCAGACUUGGCUCUUUCGGGACUCCACUGAAAAACCAAACCCACGGCCAUGAGUCGAUUCCGACUCAUAGCAACACUGUAGGACAAAGCAGAACUGCCCCACAGGGUUUCCAAAGCUGUAAUCUUUAUGGAAGCAGACUGCCACACCUUUCUCCUGUGAGUGGCUGUUGGUUCUGAAUCGCUGACCUUUUGGUUAGCAGCCAAGAACUUUAACCUCUGCACUACCAGGGCUCCCGCAAAUGCUGUCUGGAGCUGAUGGAAUGCCGGGCCUCAGGGAUGGCAGAGAGAAAAGCUCCUCUCCUUCAGAGAGCUUAGGAGCAGGGGCCAGAAAGCCAGGGAAAGGGCCACAUACCCGAGGGAGGUGUAUGCUCAUGGCCACCGCAAGACACUGAUAGCAGUACUAUUUGUAACAGCCCAAGCCUGGAACAAGCCCAGGUCCUCCAACAGUAGAGAUGGACAAGUGGUGGUGGACUCACACCAUGGACCGCUACACACAACGGAGCAGAAUGAACCUCUGCUACGUGCAACAACUGAGGAGGUGAAGCAAAAGCCACAGAUGGUCAGUUACCUCUGACGGCCCCUUCAACAACCCAGAAGAGGGACAGCUCAGUGACCAGAGGUCAGGAACAGGUCACUGCGCCACUGGCCAACCCAAGCACACCGAGUGACCAUACCUUCAGACCCGAGAUUUCACUGCACAGAGCCUUAUCCGCAGUGGCCCCAUCUGCAGAGACGUCUUUGUGGCCGUGCAUCCCCCUCCUUCCUCUACUGCCUGGCCAGGAGGGAAGAGGGCAACCUCCCGUUGGCCUGUUUGUCCCCACAGAGGUUUUUGAGACAGAAGGAAGCAGGAAGAGAGGCAGCAGGAAGAAUGAAGAGAGAAGAAGCAGAGAGAAACAGAGAAGAGAGAAGCAGUAGACAGGAGAGGAACCUCCUAAAAGAGCUGUAAUACCAGUCAAGGGCUGUUAUACUGAAGACAGCGAGAGGCUCAGAAGGGUCCCACCAGCAGAGCCAGCACUACAGAUGGCAGGGCCAAGAGGAGCCUGUCCUGAGGGAACUGAGAGGAGGCUGUCCUGAGGGGGCAGAAGGUAGCCUGUCCUGAGGGGGCAGAAGGUAGCCUGUCCUGAGGGGGCCAAGGGGAGCUUGUCCUCAUGGGGUUGAGAAGACCAGUCUUAAGGGGGCUGAGGGGAGUCUGUCCUUAGGGGGCUGAGAGGAGCCAGUUCUCAGAGGGCUGAGGGGAGCCUGUCUUUAGGGGACUGAGGGAGAGAUGUACUGUAUUGAAGAAAGGAGACUUUGCCUGCAUGCUUCCUGAUCCACAUCCUGAAUUGUAACCUGUUGAUCCUAAUCCCCAGUCGUACCCUAUUACGUCCUUAAUAAACCACUAAUUGUAAGUAUCGUCUGUGAGUUCUGCGUGGACAAUGCCAUGGAUUAGCAAACCCAGAAGAGUAGUAGAGAAUGCCAGGAAAGGGAUAGCUGGUGUCCAAAUUGGUAAAAAAGGUUAUGGGGUGAAGGUGUGUCUGGCUUCCACCUCAUGGGAAUCAGCUUUGGGCUGAUCCUGGUCAUUAUCCUCCCUGAAGUUAGACAGGUUCUGAUGCUACUACAUUACUACUACUGUGCCAUAGUACCGAUACUAUUUGUGCAUUUAAAAACACAAAACAAUCCUAUACAUUUUCUACGAGUUAAUAUGUGUUGUUAGCUGUCAUUGUCCCAGCACCAAACUCAUGGCAACCCCAUCCACCGUUGUGAUCCAUAGAGUUUUCAUUGGCUGAUAUUCAGAAGUAGGUUGCCAGGCCUUUCUUCCUAGUCCACCUUGGUCUGGAAGCUCUGCUGAAACCUGUCCACCAUCACGGCAACACACAAGCCUCUGCUGACAGACUGAUGGUGGCAGGAUACAGUUCACCAAUCAGGACAGUUUCCAACCAGGACAGCUCUCAUCUCCUUCUUGGCCAUGCCUACAGCCAGGGCCUUCUCUCAGCCAUGCCAGCCUGCAGGUCUUCUCUUGGCCUCUGCUCUGCCAGGGCAAGUGUUAGAUCUUUAGCUCUGCUGACAAGUGCCUAGAGGCACCCUUCUCUGCCAGCAAGCCUCCUCUCUAAAGGCACUCAGCUCUCUCUCACUCUGUGGGCCAGGCAAGCCCACCACACCCACUUCGCUGCGUGGGCUAGCAAGCACCACCACAGCCAUCUGCUGGGCUUGUAAUUCUCGCCAUUCGUACU
Molecule: long non-coding RNA, 3761 nt
Organism: Loxodonta africana (African savanna elephant)
Lineage: Eukaryota; Metazoa; Chordata; Mammalia; Proboscidea; Elephantidae
Exons: 4
Source: RefSeq, a predicted model, not a curated record